CUUCCGAGUCUUUGGUUGAGAUAGAAAGCAGGACGGUGGCCAUGGAAGUCGGAAUCCGCUAAGGAGUGUGUAACAACUCACCUGCCCAAUCAACUAGCCCUGAAAAUGGAUGGCGCUAGAGCGUCGGGCCCAUACCCGGCCGUCGCAAA
Aethalodelphis obliquidens (Pacific white-sided dolphin) is the source of this 149-nucleotide long non-coding RNA. RefSeq lists it as uncharacterized. The record is from RefSeq and is a predicted model, not a curated record. The transcript has 4 exons. Lineage: Eukaryota; Metazoa; Chordata; Mammalia; Artiodactyla; Delphinidae.